Molecule: small nucleolar RNA, 110 nt
Filed under: Gelatoporia subvermispora B
Lineage: Eukaryota; Fungi; Basidiomycota; Agaricomycetes; Polyporales; Gelatoporiaceae
Description: Small nucleolar RNA Z13/snr52
Rfam family: Small nucleolar RNA Z13/snr52
About the family: Z13 or snr52 is a member of the C/D class of snoRNA which contain the C (UGAUGA) and D (CUGA) box motifs. Most of the members of the box C/D family function in directing site-specific 2'-O-methylation of substrate RNAs.
Source: Rfam by way of RNAcentral
UGCUGUCGUGUGAUGUAACCAUUCGGAUGUAAAUGAGCUACGGCUCGUAACGUCCGAGAGCGCAUAAAACCGUGUGGAUGUUUCCGUUGCCUUCCUUCUGACUCUUCAAU